AUUGAACGCUGGCGGCAUGCCUUACACAUGCAAGUCGAACGGCAGCGCGGACUUCGGUCUGGCGGCGAGUGGCGAACGGGUGAGUAAUACAUCGGAACGUACCCUGUUGUGGGGGAUAACUAGUCGAAAGAUUAGCUAAUACCGCAUACGACCUGAGGGUGAAAGUGGGGGACCGCAAGGCCUCACGCAGCAGGAGCGGCCGAUGUCUGAUUAGCUAGUUGGUGGGGUAAAGGCCCACCAAGGCGACGAUCAGUAGCUGGUCUGAGAGGACGAUCAGCCACACUGGGACUGAGACACUGCCCAGACUCCUACGGGAGGCAGCAGUGGGGAAUUUUGGACAAUGGGGGCAACCCUGAUCCAGCAAUGCCGCGUGUGUGAAGAAGGCCUUCGGGUUGUAAAGCACUUUUGUCCGGAAAGAAAUCGCGCUGGUUAAUACCUGGCGUGGAUGACGGUACCGGAAGAAUAAGCACCGGCUAACUACGUG
Molecule: ribosomal RNA, 484 nt
Filed under: uncultured bacterium
Lineage: Bacteria
Description: partial 16S ribosomal RNA
Rfam family: Bacterial small subunit ribosomal RNA
Source: RNAcentral